This 329-nucleotide ribosomal RNA is filed under the name uncultured eukaryote. RNAcentral describes it as "partial 18S ribosomal RNA". It matches the Rfam family "Eukaryotic small subunit ribosomal RNA", at positions 1470 to 1796 of the family's 1831-position model. The record is from RNAcentral.
CCCUUAGAUGUUCUGGGCCGCACGCGCGCUACACUGAUGCAUUCAACGAGUCUAAAACCUGCUCUGAUAGGGGUGGGUAAUCUUUUGAAUGUGCAUCGUGAUUGGGAUAGAUGAUUGCAAUUUUUCAUCUUCAACGUGGAAUGCCUAGUAAACGCAAGUCAUCAGCUUGCAUUGAUUACGUCCCUGCCCUUUGUACACACCGCCCGUCGCUCCUACCGAUUGAAUGAUCCGAUGAAUAUCAUGGAUUGAGGAUGCAAGUAGGUUCGCCUAUCUUCAUCUUCGAGAAGUGAAGUAAAUCUUAUCAUUUAGAGGAAGGAGAAGUCGUAACA